GGAGAGCUUCCUGUAAGCGAACCCGUGAAGGUUCCAGGAGGAUGGCGCACCCGGAAAGGGCGUGGAAGCUCCGCGCCCCUUCCCACAGACUUUCCCCCAUCCAUCUCUUCAUCUGGUGUUCAUCGAUAGCCUUUGUAAUGUCCUUAAUAGUAAACCGGAAAACAGUGGAGGAAGAAGAGAAUCACCACAUAUCGUAUUUAGAGGUCCUGCAGAAAGGGCAGAGCGAGUUUCAUGUUUGAGUGCAGCGGAUGCAUGGGCAAAGCAUUACACAGCCGCUCCAUGGAAGUGACAAUGAGCCUUGUCUUUCACACGUAACUCCAGGAACCAGGGGAAACAAAACCAAUUCCACCCAGAGGUACAGACAAAGAAGAGCACCCUCCCAAAGGAGCCCGCAUGAUAAGUGGCCACGGCGAACAUCACUGUGAUCAGUCAGAAAGGCAGGCGAGUUAUUAGCUUAGCCCUGAACCUCCUACUUAAUGUAGAACCAGUGGUGAUGGUUAACAGACCCUGGCUGCAGUGACAAGCCUGGGACCUGCUCGAGGAAAUCCAAUUGAAAAGCAGCCAAGAGGAACAACAAGCUAGAAACAGAUGUUCCAGCUACCAGGAUGUGCACGCAUUUAACCUGAACAUGUAGUUGGGGUGGGAUGGUAGCAUUCGUUUCUAAAUAUAGUGAUUUCACUUCUUCCCCCAUAUAGAUAUUGUCAAGUUUAAUUAUAGCCAUCCACAUUAGUUUUGUCAAAUUUUCAGCAAUUUCUUUAAAAUAAGAAGAUGUCAGAAUGAUAACUGCUAUUAAGGGAAUUCAGGGUGUUUGGUUUAUCUACCCAGUCUUACUAAAACAUUUCAGUUAAAUCAUCCACUCUUAAACUCCAGUCUCAUAGCAAUUAAAAAUUAUCUUUUAAAAAAUUGCCCAAAUGAAAUUCCAACAGUUCAUGUAAUUAUUUGAUUUAAUAUUACCAUGUUAGUAAAAUAUCUUUAAGAUAGUUAUAUUUUCAUGAGUCACUUUCUUAGUCACUUCUAGUUCCUAAAUAGGGGAGUUUGGGUUGACAGAGGUGUGAUAACCAUGCGAACAGGGGCUAGAAUAUAAGCUUAACAGAAUCAGUUAAUUAGAUUUGGAAGAGAGUUGAGUCUUGUGAACCACAGUGAUAUGUCAUGUACAUUAGGAAACAUUCUCCUUUACGUCAACACAAUUCUGGUUUUCUCUAAUGGGCUUUAUACGAGGAGAGAGACCAUCUCACUGUGUUGAUUUUUCUCAAGAAAAAAAUCAAUACUCUCAAUGGAUUUUAAGUAGAUCUAAUGUAGUACUGCACUAUGCUCAUAAGAAGAUAAGCAUAUGUAAAAGAUUUUAAAAUGUGAAUUAAUGCAUGCCACACUGAAACCAGAUCAUACCCCACACUCAUGUUGUUAUUAUGUGUACCUAAAGCAAAGAACAGCUGCAGAGUAUUUUCUCUGGUAACACUUCAUUUUUUAUUGGUAGGUUUUAAUCCGAUACAUUUUUGGGGUCACUGAAUUCUUAUUUGCUUUAGAAUGCCCGAUUAUAUCAUUCUGCAAAGGAUAAAAGGGCUUGAGCCAUCAUCCUGUGCUGAAAUUUAUUGAAGGUAUUUAUGAAGAGGGUGAUCUUGAGGAAUGCAAGCUUUUAAAAUCUAAGAACAGCAGCAAAAAUAAAUUAAUCAGGAAUCCAUCACUAAUUUAUACAUGAGUCACUUACGAGGAAGGUAAAACGGUUCAGUAAAUUAUGGAUUUACAAAUAAACUUGAUUCUAGGGCCUUGG
This 1768-nucleotide long non-coding RNA is filed under the name Homo sapiens (human). RNAcentral's name for it is "non-protein coding lnc-NR5A2-1:2". The record is from RNAcentral. Lineage: Eukaryota; Metazoa; Chordata; Mammalia; Primates; Hominidae.